This 746-nucleotide ribosomal RNA is filed under the name Bacillus sp. MJ614. RNAcentral describes it as "bacterial SSU rRNA". It matches the Rfam family "Bacterial small subunit ribosomal RNA", at positions 56 to 784 of the family's 1533-position model. The record is from RNAcentral. Lineage: Bacteria; Bacillati; Bacillota; Bacilli; Caryophanales; Bacillaceae.
UGCAAGUCGAGCGGACAGAUGGGAGCUUGCUCCCUGAUGUUAGCGGCGGACGGGUGAGUAACACGUGGGUAACCUGCCUGUAAGACUGGGAUAACUCCGGGAAACCGGGGCUAAUACCGGAUGCUUGUUUGAACCGCAUGGUUCAAACAUAAAAGGUGGCUUCGGCUACCACUUACAGAUGGACCCGCGGCGCAUUAGCUAGUUGGUGAGGUAAUGGCUCACCAAGGCAACGAUGCGUAGCCGACCUGAGAGGGUGAUCGGCCACACUGGGACUGAGACACGGCCCAGACUCCUACGGGAGGCAGCAGUAGGGAAUCUUCCGCAAUGGACGAAAGUCUGACGGAGCAACGCCGCGUGAGUGAUGAAGGUUUUCGGAUCGUAAAGCUCUGUUGUUAGGGAAGAACAAGUGCCGUUCAAAUAGGGCGGCACCUUGACGGUACCUAACCAGAAAGCCACGGCUAACUACGUGCCAGCAGCCGCGGUAAUACGUAGGUGGCAAGCGUUGUCCGGAAUUAUUGGGCGUAAAGGGCUCGCAGGCGGUUUCUUAAGUCUGAUGUGAAAGCCCCCGGCUCAACCGGGGAGGGUCAUUGGAAACUGGGGAACUUGAGUGCAGAAGAGGAGAGUGGAAUUCCACGUGUAGCGGUGAAAUGCGUAGAGAUGUGGAGGAACACCAGUGGCGAAGGCGACUCUCUGGUCUGUAACUGACGCUGAGGAGCGAAAGCGUGGGGAGCGAACAGGAUUAGAUA